GAUGAACGCUGGCGGCGUGCCUAAUACAUGCAAGUCGAGCGAACAGACGAGGAGCUUGCUCCUCUGACGUUAGCGGCGGACGGGUGAGUAACACGUGGAUAACCUACCUAUAAGACUGGGAUAACUUCGGGAAACCGGAGCUAAUACCGGAUAAUAUAUUGAACCGCAUUGUUCAAUAGUGAAAGACGGUUUUGCUGUCACUUAUAGAUUGAUCCGCGCCGCAUUAGCUAGUUGGUAAGGUAACGGCUUACCAAGGCAACGAUGCGUAGCCGACCUGAGAGGGUGAUCGGACACACUGGAACUGAGACACGGUCCAGACUCCUACGGGAGGAAGCAGUAGGGAAUCUUACGCAAUGGGGGAAAGCCUGACGGAGCAACGCCGCGUGAGUGAUGAAGGUGUUCGGAUCGUAAAACUCUGUUAUUAGGGAAGAACAAAUGUGUAAGUAACUAUGCACGUCUUGACGGUACCUAAUCAGAAAGCCACGGCUAACUACGUG
RNAcentral lists this ribosomal RNA (497 nucleotides) under uncultured bacterium. RNAcentral's name for it is "partial 16S ribosomal RNA". It matches the Rfam family "Bacterial small subunit ribosomal RNA", at positions 28 to 507 of the family's 1533-position model. The record is from RNAcentral.